This 546-nucleotide ribosomal RNA is filed under the name Olividae sp. MNHN IM 2007-33273. Its description in RNAcentral is "partial 16S ribosomal RNA". It matches the Rfam family "Bacterial large subunit ribosomal RNA", at positions 1798 to 2613 of the family's 2925-position model. The record is from RNAcentral. Lineage: Eukaryota; Metazoa; Mollusca; Gastropoda; Neogastropoda; Olividae.
GCCUGUUUUAUCAAAAACAUCGCUCCUUGUCUAAAAAAAAUAGGGAGUCGGACCUGCCCAGUGAAAUUCUUCAACGGCCGCGGUACUCUGACCGUGCAAAGGUAGCAUAAUCAUUUGCCUUAUAAUUGAAGGCUAGUAUGAAUGGUUUGACGAGAAUAUAACUGUCUCUUUAUGAUUUUUAAGAAAUUUAUCUUUGGGUGAAGAAGCCCAAAUAACAUUAAAAGACAAGAAGACCCUAUCGAGCUUGAAAUAACUAGCAUAGACAACCUUACUUUAUAUUAAUAAAAAAUCAGCUACUAAAUAUUUUAGUUGGGGCGACUAAGGAACAAAAAAAGCUUCCUAUAAUUAAAAAAUACACAAAUAUUGAUCCAGAACAUACUGAUUAAAGAAAUUAGUUACCGUAGGGAUAACAGCAUUAUCUUUCUUAAGAGCUCUAAUCGAAAGAAAGGUUUGUGACCUCGAUGUUGGACCAGAAUAUCCCGAAGAUGCAGCAGUCUUCAAGGGUUGGUCUGUUCGACCAUUAAAAUUCUACGUGAUCUGAGUUCA